This 419-nucleotide transfer-messenger RNA is filed under the name Candidatus Kaiserbacteria bacterium. It matches the Rfam family "transfer-messenger RNA". From Rfam's summary of the family: Bacterial tmRNA, also known as 10Sa RNA or SsrA, is named for its dual tRNA and mRNA-like properties. Its role is to liberate the mRNA from a stalled ribosome. To accomplish this part of the tmRNA is used as a reading frame that ends in a translation stop signal. Lineage: Bacteria; Candidatus Kaiseribacteriota. RNAcentral also lists the same sequence under 1 other name. The record is from RNAcentral.
GGGGGUGACUUGGCUUCGACAAGGAAAACGAUUCUUGCAUGCGCGUUGCACAGGUGCGAUACCUGUCUAAACAGUCGCAAAAACCUAAGUGCGAAUAAAACAGCACGGGCAAUUUUGUCACCUAUCCAGAUGGCAGAUUUGCAGCCUGGUUACGCUUUUGCCUAACCACCGUCCGCAGAAAUGAAACUUGAUUAGUUUCUCGCGGGCGUCAUAAAAUCUUCCGCCGAAGGCGGAUCCUCCUCUGGAGGACAAGUACAAGCAUGUGCCGUCUCACACAUGCCCAAGGGACGAGACUAAGAGUACGAUGGUUCUGUUCGCCUCACACAUCGCACUCCGAAACCUUCAAGACGAACUACGCACCGUAGACCAUGUAAGACAUCUUUCUUUGGACGCGGGUUCGAUUCCCGCCAUCUCCACAA